Molecule: long non-coding RNA, 2076 nt
Organism: Gallus gallus (chicken)
Lineage: Eukaryota; Metazoa; Chordata; Aves; Galliformes; Phasianidae
Source: Ensembl
GGAGUGCAGGAGGGAAGGCAGCCUAUGAAGUAGAUGCACUGUACUGAUCACUAAAGGCACUACUGAGGUGCACCUUGUCCUGAAUGCAAAUAGUGUGCAAGCAAGAACAGUACCAAGGGCUUAUGAAGAAAAGAAAGAAAGCACCAGCUUGAGAAGAAUAAAUGCUAACUGAAGUUAUUUGGAAGCCAGGAGCUUAAUUUCAUGCAUAGGACUUAAUAAAUAAGAAGAUGUAGUCAUGAUUUACUGUAAAACCAAAGAACCACUGAAUCAUGAGCCAGCAGAACUAUUUUCCAGAGCUUUAAAUAUUUCAUCUUCUUGCCUGGAUACUGGAUUUUCACUAUUUGUGCUCACCAGAAGAUUGCAGCCCACUCUUCUCAGCAGACCACAGCAGAAUGAACUCAGAAGUUUCAAUCUAUACAGCCUAGUUUGUUUUUCAUCAAACCCAUCGUUGAUAUUGAUAUUGAAAAACAUUGAUAUGCAGCUGUGUAAAUUUGUGUAAAAGUUUUUGCAAGUAUUAUAUCCAGAGAUUGCAUUCAUGAGAGAAAUCCCAAGACUGGGAAAAGAUAUGUAUUUUUAUGCUAUCUACUCCUUGGCAACCUUCUAGUAUUCCUUUCAGAAGCAAAUCUCCACUCCUUACUGCCAUUCUCCUAUUCCUUCCAUCAAUACUGAAAUCGAGUUAUUAGCACAUCCACCUAUUGCUUCAUACACACAAAUGUGUGCUUCAGUGAAGUGUAGUAUCUCUCUCUUUGUGGAGAUGAUUUCAGCUGUCCAAGUUCAGCCAAGACUAGAUGACAUUACUGCUUUCUGUGAGAUACAACAUUCUUUUCCAUCCCAUGAAGCAAUGUUCUAGCAACAUUUCAAGGAUUUUGCAUACACAAAAUUUUACAUAAGCUUCAAUAAUUUGUGCAACUACUUAAUUUCUCUGCUUAACACUCAUAUUUCUUCUUCUUGAAGAAUAAUAGACUAAGCAGCUGAUGAAGUUUACCUAUUCUUGAUUUCUACAUUCUUGAUCCAUAGGACCACUUUGAUAGGAGACUGCAUAUUUCCAGAAGACCUGCAGGGUAAGCAGGAGACAUAGAUGUCCCAUGAACAAGUAUUAGGAGUAAUGACCAGAAUGCUGUUAAAAUAAUUAAUUAAAUAAAUAAACAAAUAAUAAAGGAGCAGAUAGGCAUCCAGAUUUAGAGGUGACAGAAACAAAGCAGUAUUACCCACUCUGUAUACUUUGUUGUUAUCCAGAAAUUGGAUUAAAAUAAAAUUUAAAAGAAAGAGCCUACUUUGCAAGGACAAGAGUUGGAGGGAGACUGGUUUGCAAUUCAUAUUUUAAUUUGCAAUAUCCAAUUUUAAAAUAUUAAAGUAAGUGUGAUGUAGUGUCUUUUUUUCAUGUUGAGAAAGAUCUAGAUACAAAGUCCAUAGUACUGAACAGAAAUAUUCCAGUUUGUGUUGAGAUUCGUUGAACAAAUCAGAGUAGAGCAGUGUUUCACAAACCAACUUUAGCUCAGGGAAGCUGAUCUCCACAGACUCCCACAACAGCUGAUGGAGAGAUAAAAGCAUCUCUACAGUUAAUUCAGAUGAGUAUUCUAUCAUCCUCAAAAGAGAGAUUCUGAAUCUUAUUUUUGAUUCCACUUUGCCCUCAGGAGGAACUUAUUUCUUUCUAUGUAUUGCCAAAGAAACUUGGGAAGAGUCAUAACCAAAAGCAAUGAGUAGUCUUCAUGUUUACACCCCAAAGAUUAUACUGUUUCACAGUAACUUAGAUGCAACCUGAUCUAAACUAUAAACUCAGAUGUUAUCUGUAUCAGUUAUCUUAACAUAUUUUUACUUAUAACUUAUAUUGAAAUAUUAAGUGGUCAUUUUUCAUAUCCUAAUAAGCAGUGAUACAUAAUAAAUAUUUACUGUGAAAGCAUGUAUUCAUCUUGAUUUUAUGUAUGUAUGCAUAUCUUGAAUUUGGGGGUAAAAUUAGAUUUUUUCAAAGUUUUCUUUUUUGUGACUAUUUUGUGACCUUGUAUUACUCAAAGUGAUUUAAUGAAUUUUUUUGGCUUAAUUAAAACAAGAUUUCCAGGGUAGGUUCAAUAAAAUGAG